RNAcentral lists this ribosomal RNA (256 nucleotides) under uncultured bacterium. RNAcentral's name for it is "partial 16S ribosomal RNA". It matches the Rfam family "Bacterial small subunit ribosomal RNA", at positions 524 to 776 of the family's 1533-position model. The record is from RNAcentral.
GACGAAGGAUGCAAGCGUUAUCCGGAUUCAUUGGGUUUAAAGGGAGCGUAGGCGGACUUGUAAGUCAGUGGUGAAAUCUGUGGGCUUAACCCACAAACUGCCAUUGAUACUGCAGGUCUAGAGUACAGUUGCCGUUGGCGGAAUAUGACAUGUAGUGGUGAAAUACUUAGAUAUGUCAUAGAACACCCGAUUGCGAAAGGCAGCUAACGAAGCUGUAACUGACGCUGAGGCUCGAAAGUGCGGGGGAUCAAACAGG